UUAAAAGCUUGCAAUGUCUGCUCCCAGCAUCCCUCCAUACCGGGUGUUCAAGUGCUAAUCAUGAUUAACAUUAUUUCGUAUAAAUACAUCAGAGAAGGAAAAGCGUCCUUGCCUCUCCAGUCUCACAUUCUGUUCACAUUCCGCUGAAAAGAUGGAGAGGGAUCUGUCAACACAUCCGCCCACUCGCCAUGGUGUACCGAGCGUGCCAGAACAAACAGGCCCCUAAUGACGCGACUCCAUCAUUUCAUAACAUGGAAACAAGGGUGGCGAAGGGAGCGAUUUGUCAGCCCGAAGAGGGGAAGAAAACACGAAAAUGUCAAUUGUCAUCGUCUACUAAAAAACAAAACAUGAGUCGGAAGCAUGAGGCGAAGCGUCAUUGUAAUGAUGCCAAGAAUAGCACAGGCACCAGGAUUUCCAUGCCUGUCUGAGCCGGCAUCUCAGUCCUGGAAGUAGAUGGUGGCCCUGGAUGAUGCUUGAACAAUGGUGGUGCCAUCUUUUUGGAGAGAAAAGCAGACAAAAGCAUUGUCAGUGGGCAUACUUUGACAUCUGUAAGAAGUACGGUAAUAAAUGGCAGGAAGUGUUACAGU
Molecule: long non-coding RNA, 587 nt
Organism: Rana temporaria (common frog)
Lineage: Eukaryota; Metazoa; Chordata; Amphibia; Anura; Ranidae
Exons: 2
Source: RefSeq, a predicted model, not a curated record